UACGUAGGGUGCGAGCGUUGUCCGGAAUUAUUGGGCGUAAAGAGCUUGUAGGCGGUUUGUCGCGUCUGCCGUGAAAAUCCGGGGCUCAACCCCGGACUUGCGGUGGGUACGGGCAGACUAGAGUGUGGUAGGGGAGACUGGAAUUCCUGGUGUAGCGGUGAAAUGCGCAGAUAUCAGGAGGAACACCGGUGGCGAAGGCGGGUCUCUGGGCAUUACCUGACGCUGAGGAGCGAAAGUGUGGGGAGCGAACAGG
RNAcentral lists this ribosomal RNA (253 nucleotides) under uncultured bacterium. RNAcentral describes it as "partial 16S ribosomal RNA". It matches the Rfam family "Bacterial small subunit ribosomal RNA", at positions 524 to 776 of the family's 1533-position model. The record is from RNAcentral.